AAAAAAUGCAUGUUAAACUUGUUGUUAAAAUGAAGUUAAUGUAAUUUCACAAACAGUAGAGUUUAACUUAAUGAGUUUUUCCAUUAACAAGAAUUUCUUAAAAUAAUAAUGUAUGGAUAUCAUUUGGAAAGUGACAUGAAAUGUUGUUAAAAAGUGAUGCAUACAAGUGUUUCAGAAGUCUGUCUAGGAAUAGAACAACAACUGAAGCUGACAAGUUGAUGGAAGAUACUGCAGAGUUUGGCAGGGAAAUAACCCAAGACAGCAAAGCGGCUCUUUUGGCGCAUUUACCAAGAGGACUAACAUGGCCACAAAUUCAUGAGAUCAUGCAGGAGCCGUACAGUAUAACAGCAGUACAAGUUCUAUAAAAGAUCCACGACCUACUGAAGCCCAGCUAAUUAACAAAAAAGUUUUUAAAAACUGUAAUUUUAUCCCACCUGGGUACUUAUAAUUUACUAACUGUCACUUGGAAAGUAAUACAUGUACAUGCAUUCAUGUUCUGAAUUUCUUUGAACAAUAAAAUUAUAUAAAAGUAUUUUAAUGAAAUUGAGCACCUAAAUUGCAUUAAAGUGAAAGUAGCUGAGAAAAAUAGUAUCCUUAAUUGUUCUCAUGGGCAGCUACAUAUAUUGUGACAAACAUGAAGUAGCUAAAAUAACUUAAAUUUUUCAUUUUGUUUCUUGUAUAUCGUUUGUACAGGGUUCGUGAAUUGUUACUGUAUAUUACUUGACUUGCUUGUAUUUUGUUACUUUGAAUACAUGUUGUUAAGGUUGCAUUAUACUUUUUAACUUUUAAAGUAGCGCCUGUUCUGUUAUGUAAGGGCCUGAUUUAUGAUAAUGGACCUAGAGGCUUUGUAAGCAUGUAUUAAACAACACUUGUUUGAUCUGAAUAAUUUGUUAAAUAAAUGUAACACAAUUUGUAAUCUGAUGUUAUAUUUUGAUGAAUUGUGAACAAAAUAAUACAUCGAAGAAACUAA
Long non-coding RNA from Dreissena polymorpha, 970 nucleotides. RefSeq lists it as uncharacterized. The transcript has 3 exons. NCBI's taxonomy places the organism in Eukaryota, Metazoa, Mollusca, Bivalvia, Myida, Dreissenidae. The record is from RefSeq and is a predicted model, not a curated record.